This 433-nucleotide ribosomal RNA is filed under the name uncultured bacterium. Its description in RNAcentral is "partial 16S ribosomal RNA". It matches the Rfam family "Bacterial small subunit ribosomal RNA", at positions 29 to 507 of the family's 1533-position model. The record is from RNAcentral.
AGCGAACGCUGGCGGCAGGCCUAACACAUGCAAGUCGAACGAACUCUUCGGAGUUAGUGGCGGACGGGUGAGUAACACGUGGGAACGUGCCUUUAGGUUCGGAAUAACUCAGGGAAACUUGUGCUAAUACCGAAUGUGCCCUUCGGGGGAAAGAUUUAUCGCCUUUAGAGCGGCCCGCGUCUGAUUAGCUAGUUGGUGAGGUAAAGGCUCACCAAGGCGACGAUCAGUAGCUGGUCUGAGAGGAUGAUCAGCCACAUUGGGACUGAGACACGGCCCAAACUCCUACGGGAGGCAGCAGUGGGGAAUCUUGCGCAAUGGGCGAAAGCCUGACGCAGCCAUGCCGCGUGAAUGAUGUAGGUCUUAGGAUUGUAAAAUUCUUUCACCGGGGACGAUAAUGACGGUACCCGGAGAAGAAGCCCCGGCUAACUUCGUG